AACGAACGCUGGCGGCAUGCCUAACACAUGCAAGUCGAACGAAGCCUUCGGGCUUAGUGGCGCACGGGUGCGUAACGCGUGGGAAUCUGCCCCUCGGUUCGGAAUAACACAGAGAAAUUUGUGCUAAUACCGGAUGAUGACGAAAGUCCAAAGAUUUAUCGCCGAGGGAGGAGCCCGCGUAGGAUUAGCUAGUUGGUGAGGUAAAGGCUCACCAAGGCGACGAUCCUUAGCUGGUCUGAGAGAAUGAUCAGCCACACUGGGACUGAGACACGGCCCAGACUCCUACGGGAGGCAGCAGUGGGGAAUAUUGGACAAUGGGCGAAAGCCUGAUCCAGCAAUGCCGCGUGGGUGAUGAAGGCCUUAGGGUUGUAAAGCUCUUUUACCAGGGAUGAUAAUGACAGUACCUGGAGAAUAAGCUCCGGCUAACUCCGUGCCAGCCGCCGCGGUAA
This 449-nucleotide ribosomal RNA is filed under the name uncultured bacterium. Its description in RNAcentral is "partial 16S ribosomal RNA". It matches the Rfam family "Bacterial small subunit ribosomal RNA", at positions 29 to 523 of the family's 1533-position model. The record is from RNAcentral.